CAGCCAUGCCGCGUGUGUGAAGAAGGCCUUCGGGUUGUAAAGCACUUUCAGUCGUGAGGAAGGUAGUGUAGUUAAUAGCUGCAUUAUUUGACGUUAGCGACAGAAGAAGCACCGGCUAACUCCGUGCCAGCAGCCGCGGUAAUACGGAGGGUGCGAGCGUUAAUCGGAAUUACUGGGCGUAAAGCGCAUGCAGGUGGUUUGUUAAGUCAGAUGUGAAAGCCCGGGGCUCAACCUCGGAAUAGCAUUUGAAACUGGCAGACUAGAGUACUGUAGAGGGGGGUAGAAUUUCAGGUGUAGCGGUGAAAUGCGUAGAGAUCUGAAGGAAUACCGGUGGCGAAGGCGGCCCCCUGGACAGAUACUGACACUCAGAUGCGAAAGCGUGGGGAGCAAACAGGAUUAGAUACCCUGGUAGUCCACGCCGUAAACGAUGUCUACUUGGAGGUUGUGGCCUUGAGCCGUGGCUUUCGGAGCUAACGCGUUAAGUA
This 485-nucleotide ribosomal RNA is filed under the name Vibrio sp. RNAcentral describes it as "bacterial SSU rRNA". It matches the Rfam family "Bacterial small subunit ribosomal RNA", at positions 389 to 866 of the family's 1533-position model. The record is from RNAcentral. Lineage: Bacteria; Pseudomonadati; Pseudomonadota; Gammaproteobacteria; Vibrionales; Vibrionaceae.